RNAcentral lists this ribosomal RNA (1372 nucleotides) under uncultured bacterium. RNAcentral describes it as "bacterial SSU rRNA". It matches the Rfam family "Bacterial small subunit ribosomal RNA", at positions 28 to 1381 of the family's 1533-position model. The record is from RNAcentral.
GAUGAACGCUGGCGGCGUGCCUAAUACAUGCAAGUCGAGCGAACGGACGAGAAGCUUGCUUUUCUGAUGUUAGCGGCGGACGGGUGAGUAACACGUGGAUAACCUACCUAUAAGACUGGGAUAACUUCGGGAAACCGGAGCUAAUACCGGAUAAUAUUUUGAACCGCAUGGUUCAAAAGUGAAAGACGGUCUUGCUGUCACUUAUAGAAGGAUCCGCGCUGCAUUAGCUAGUUGGUAAGGUAACGGCUUACCAAGGCAACGAUGCAUAGCCGACCUGAGAGGGUGAUCGGCCACACUGGAACUGAGACACGGUCCAGACUCCUACGGGAGGCAGCAGUAGGGAAUCUUCCGCAAUGGGCGAAAGCCUGACGGAGCAACGCCGCGUGAGUGAUGAAGGUCUUCGGAUCGUAAAACUCUGUUAUUAGGGAAGAACAUAUGUGUAAGUAACUGUGCACAUCUUGACGGUACCUAAUCAGAAAGCCACGGCUAACUACGUGCCAGCAGCCGCGGUAAUACGUAGGUGGCAAGCGUUAUCCGGAAUUAUUGGGCGUAAAGCGCGCGUAGGCGGUUUUUUAAGUCUGAUGUGAAAGCCCACGGCUCAACCGUGGAGGGUCAUUGGAAACUGGAAAACUUGAGUGCAGAAGAGGAAAGUGGAAUUCCAUGUGUAGCGGUGAAAUGCGCAGAGAUGUGGAGGAACACCAGUGGCGAAGGCGACUUUCUGGUCUGUAACUGACGCUGAUGUGCGAAAGCGUGGGGAUCAAACAGGAUUAGAUACCCUGGUAGUCCACGCCGUAAACGAUGAGUGCUAAGUGUUAGGGGGUUUCCGCCCCUUAGUGCUGCAGCUAACGCAUUAAGCACUCCGCCUGGGGAGUACGACCGCAAGGUUGAAACUCAAAGGAAUUGACGGGGGCCCGCACAAGCGGUGGAGCAUGUGGUUUAAUUCGAAGCAACGCGAAGAACCUUACCAAAUCUUGACAUCCUUUGACAACUCUAGAGAUAGAGCCUUCCCCUUCGGGGGACAAAGUGACAGGUGGUGCAUGGUUGUCGUCAGCUCGUGUCGUGAGAUGUUGGGUUAAGUCCCGCAACGAGCGCAACCCUUAAGCUUAGUUGCCAUCAUUAAGUUGGGCACUCUAAGUUGACUGCCGGUGACAAACCGGAGGAAGGUGGGGAUGACGUCAAAUCAUCAUGCCCCUUAUGAUUUGGGCUACACACGUGCUACAAUGGACAAUACAAAGGGCAGCGAAACCGCGAGGUCAAGCAAAUCCCAUAAAGUUGUUCUCAGUUCGGAUUGUAGUCUGCAACUCGACUACAUGAAGCUGGAAUCGCUAGUAAUCGUAGAUCAGCAUGCUACGGUGAAUACGUUCCCGGGUCU